This is an RNA transcript of Phyllopteryx taeniolatus (common seadragon), 1891 nucleotides long. It is a transcript of the gene named LBH regulator of WNT signaling pathway, like, with no coding region annotated. The record is from RefSeq and is a predicted model, not a curated record. The transcript has 5 exons. NCBI's taxonomy places the organism in Eukaryota, Metazoa, Chordata, Actinopteri, Syngnathiformes, Syngnathidae.
ACCAAGGGAUCUCUUAAAAAAAGAAGAUGGAGGGACUCAAACAAAGCAGCAUAAUAAGUUGCAAAAUGUUUGAGCUACGUGCCAGCAGUCAUGCAACUCUGGAGUCAGGUUUGCCUUCACAGUGUUCACCAUCUGUGUGCCCUUGCACUUGCACCAACGAUGCACUGUGCCAACUCAUCAGAGGGGACUGUCAAGCCUGGCUGACGUCACCCAUCAAGCUGGUGUAAUCGAAAGAGACGCUAAUCCAAAGCCUGAUUGUGGGUCGGGCUGGGAGAGGGAGGAUGAUGAGACUGACACAAGGAGGGAAGUUCGAAGGGAGCACAUGUUGGUGAAGUUGGAUUGAAGCCGCACAAGUGAGGCAGGUGCUGUCCUAACCGGAGGAAGGUCAUCACGCACAUAGCCCCCCUGCAUCCUCAUCUCCUGAGAAUCUCCGAGAGUGUGGAAAGCCCGCAUCCAGGCCUCGUCCUGGACACCAACAACCUCGCUGAGAGCUCCGCAGAGGGGGAAUGCUGCGGGAGCUGCUCAGCUCCUUCUGGACCCCCCAUUAUGCAAAGUGUGCCCACUGUGGAAGAGCCAGUCUUCACCACGGUGGAUCUGUGCCAAGAUGGAGAAGAAGAAGACAGCUAUCUGACAGCAAAUGAAGGAGGGAUGGAGGAGCUAAGCGGUCAGGAUUCAAAUUCUGAAGAUCUGCGACGGAAGGAAAAACGAUUACCUUUCCAGAUCUUCCCUGAUCCAGUCGAGGUAGUUCUUGUCCCCGAGACGUCUUUGAACAGCUUGGCUCAGAACCACCAGAGGGAGCGUCUACCCUCCAUCGUUGUGGAGCCCACUGAGUUGAGCGAGGUGGAGAGCGGAGAACUACGCUGGCCCCCAGAAAACAUCGACAUGGGCGAGGAUGAAGAGGACCUCUUCUUGGAGCAAUGCAUCCCCCCAGCCAACAUUGCUGACUGGGAAGAGGAGGAUGAGGAGGAGAGAGCAUCAGUUUUUCUGAACCAGCAGCAAGGAUUGACACUCAUUGGAGAUUGAGGCGGGCCAGCCUCAGCUUUCGACUGUGUGUGCGGUGGAAAGUACACGGCUCACCGCCAUCACCAUGUGACCUACAGUCAGAUGCGUUUCGAGAUGACACCCCCACACUCCCACCAAGCUGUGCUCCGGCCCUCAACCGAAACCUCUGAGGACCCCGUGAGGAAACAAUAACAAGUUGACACUGACAAUGAAAGAUUAUGCGUGUGAGCUGAAAGACUAAACGGCAUUGCUGAAAAAGGAAAAUAUGCUCAAGUGCUGAUAAGCAGCCAGUGAAGCUUACAGAGAAGCCAUAAAUGGGCAUGUCUGUACACUUGGCAACAUGCUGAUGAAGAUAAUCACACAAACAGAAAUGGUAAAAUGCAAAUAUUCACAGAACAUUACCCUUUUUGUGUCUUUUUUCAACUUUUAGUCUUUGCUUCAUGUGUGAUUUCACUAACUCACACUUUUGAAGGCCAGUGAGUCAUAGUGCUAUAAGAGGACAUGCUGGUGUUGCAUAUUAUUUUGUUCCUUUUACUCUGUUCCCCAAAGAUCCCUAAACCUAUUGAACUCUAUCAUCAACCCUUUUCUAACCCAAUGGGGACUUCUGUGGAUAUUUAGAAGAUAAAUCUCUAUCACUCAUGAAACAGUCAUAUCAUACAGUGUAUAUGAGGUCAAAGGUUGUAACGUUAAAGCAUUUUAAGAACUGUCCUUUCAUUUUGAGUUAAAAAAGGCAGCUCGUGUUUAUAGAUCAAUUCAGAUAAAACUGAGAACUACAGUUGUGCAUUGCUAUGGAGAUUCAUUUGAGUUUGUGUCUAGGCUGACCUGUGAAUAUAAUGUACAUAUGAUUAUGUCACUGUAUAAAUCCUUGCAAUAAACCUGUCAAUUAAGA